CUCGACCCGGCUCGCCUGCUUUCUAUUUUGUCUCCCACCUCCACCUCCGCCUCGCGAGAUCUCCAACUCCAAUGGCGCCGGCCUCCUAAACCUAGCCCCUACCAACAACCCAGUUGCGCCGGCGACGACGACCAGCGCGGCGGCCAUGUCUACGGAUCGAGAGAAGGAGCGGGAGGCGGAGCUGGAGGGCGCCAUGUACACCAACUGCCUACUCCUCGGCCUUGAUCCCGCCGUCCUGGGCUCUCCCGCCGCCGCUGCCUCCCCUCGCGUCGGCCUCUUCCGCCACUCCAACCCUCGCCUCGGCGAGCAGCUCCUCUACUUCCUCCUAUCAUCCCUACGCGGCCCCGCACAGUCCGCCAAGGACUUCGACAAGGUGUGGCCGAUCUUUGAUUCCGCGCAGUCCAGGGAGUUCCGCAAGAUCGUUCAAGGUAUUAUUAGCGAGCUGGAGCAGCAGGGAGCGCUGCCAAGGAGCAACUCCAGAGUUUCGUCACUUGCCACCUGCUGCGGGCCGAGAUUUGUUGAGCUUUUAUGGCAACUCUCUGUACAUGCCUUGAGGGAGGUCCACAGGAGAACAUUUGCGGCUGAUGUAGCAUCAAAUCCUUUGCCAGCUGCACUCACAGAUGUUUCUUAUCUUCACGCAGCUGCAUUACUGCCUGUAACGAAGGCAAGGAUAGCUCUUGAGAGGCGUAAAUUUCUAAAAAAUGCAAAUAUUGCUGUUCAAAGGCAAACAACCUGGUCAAAUUUAGCCCAUGAAAUGACAGCUGAAUUCCGAAGUCUAUGUGCUGAAGAGGCAUAUCUGCAACAGGAGUUAGAGAAGCUGCAAGAUAUGAGAAACAAAGCUAAGCUGGAGGGUGAAUUGUGGGAUGAACGUAUCUCGACCUCGUCUGGACAAAAUUCACAUUUGGUAUCUAAGGCAACCCGUUUGUGGGAAUCAAUAUUGGCUCGUAAAGGCCAGCAUGAGGUCUUAGCUUCCGGGCCAAUUGAAGAUCUUAUAGCACAUCGUGAGCAUAGGUACCGUAUAUCUGGAUCACAAUUGCUAGCAGCAAUGGAUACAAGUUCAAGUGUUCCACAUUCAGAAUUACUAUCAGCUCGAGCUGGUGAAUCUCAAAUGUUGGACAAGCAGGAGCAGAUAUCUCUAUUCCAGGGAAAGGAAGAAGCCCUUUCAAGAUUAGAUGAUAGAAAUGGGCGUACCCAACAAACUGUUGAUGUAGCUGAAAUUCUUCGACGUUGGACUCACGCUUUGCAGCGUAUUCAUAAACAGUCCCUUCAUUUGGCCAAAGCAAAUGAUGGGGAGGGGCCAGAAUUACUCCGCAGUGCGUCUGACGGUGAAGCUAGUACCCAUGCCGACUCAUUAACUGCAACACUGGCUGAACAUCGCCAGCAUUUAGUCAGUAUACAGGGCCUAAUUAAUCAACUAAAGGAAGCUAUUCCAGCAAUGCAGCAGUCAAUUACUGAUCUUUCAGAGGAAGUGAAUAGUGUACCUAGUAAUCCAGUGGAUCAAACAAACUCCAGACAAUUGUUGUCUGGGCAAAAUACAGUGUUUGUAAGACCAGAAGAAAGCAGCAGUGAAGUUUCAGAGAUGACUUCUAAGCUUUCUUCUACACACAUCGACAAGGCUGGCAGUAGUCCUGCUCUAAAGUUACCUCCUUUAUUUAGUCUGACUCCAAGUUCUUCUGGAAAAGGAACACAGACACAAAGACGGAAUGCACUAGCACGCCAACCUAGUCAAGAAAUUCUGCCUCAAGAGAAAACACUUGUCCUCCCUUCCACCAAAGAUCAAGGAAACGGUUCAAUGCAUGAAAAUUAUGGUUAUUUUGCUCAUGAUAUCAGACGUUCUGUUCGUGAAGCUGCUCUAUCAAAGCCAUUGAGCAACACGGAGAGUCCUCAGGACGAUAGUAGUGAUGAUGGUUCAGAGCACUUUUUCAUUCCCCUGUCAUCAGGUACUUCGAGGAAGGAUGUGGGUGCUGUGGGAAAUCGAAGAAAACAAAAAAUAGUUAUAUCAUCAUCACAGACAAAGUUACCCAAGAGCACAAGUGAUCAGUACUUCAAUUCUGACAGCCCAAUUCAUACACCUUCAGUCCUGUCAGGUAAACGGAAUGGCCAUGGUGAUUCAAGCAGUGCUGGAAACUUUUUUGAUCCAGUCAGUAGUAGUCAAUCAUUUAUGACAGAUGAUGCUCUUGAUCAAUUAUUCUCUCCACCACUUCUGUUGGAGUCUUCAUUAUUUCACGACGCAUACGAGGACUUGCUUGCACCAUUAUCAGAAACUGAUGCAGCUUUAAUGGAACAUUAGGCUUCACAUGUACACUAUGCAAUACUUUAACCACUGCCUGAAGCUUCAGCGCUUAACUGCAGCCUAGAGGCACGGAUGGUGGGCAUAUACAGGGUGAAUUCUUGGGAAUUAUUUUGCUGGUUGAGUUGCAUGCCAGUUGCCACUAGCUCGUGAGAGGAUGCCUCUGCCUCUGAAGGUGGACGAUUCUAUUUGGAGAGAGAAGGGCGUAUAGAGGUGAUAUAGAUGUCUGGGAUGGUGUGACGUACCAACUACCAGUGUGCACAGACUGUCAGGUUAUUAGCAUUUGCUGGUCUGUGGAAGUUGUUUUCUUGUUGUUGAAGGAACUCUGCUAGUACCAGAGGAUUGAAAUCAAGAGUAGCAAGGGUAGUGUACAUAUGCGCUCCUUCAAAUCUUGGGAAGUUUGUUUCCUUACUGUUUUUUUUUUGUUGUUAAGAGGUUAUUCGUGGGGAGUAUUCAUGUUGAGUUUGUUUUGUAGAAUGCAAACUUCUGGUAAUGCAAAUGCAACGUGUCGGUGACAUGGCUGCAUAACAUGCGGCCGUCCAUUCUGGUGUUCCUGUCAUUAAUAUCUUGCGGCUGACGGUCCAAUUAUGAGUCGUUUUUCAUUAAUAGUUCACCGCUGACGA
Molecule: RNA transcript, 2913 nt
Organism: Lolium rigidum
Lineage: Eukaryota; Viridiplantae; Streptophyta; Magnoliopsida; Poales; Poaceae
Gene name: AUGMIN subunit 6
Exons: 14
Source: RefSeq, a predicted model, not a curated record